Molecule: long non-coding RNA, 2836 nt
Organism: Equus caballus (horse)
Lineage: Eukaryota; Metazoa; Chordata; Mammalia; Perissodactyla; Equidae
Source: Ensembl
UAGAGAAGGUGGAAAUUGAGUGGAAUGAGUUGAGUGGAAUUCUCAAACCAGGUGAAGCUUCAAAAACAGCCAUUAUGUCUAUAUGCUGGCAGCUGGCUUUUACCCUUUUAUCUGCAUCUCUUCCUCCUUCCUGGUGGCUGGAAUGCAGAUGUGAUGGCUGUUUUUAUACCGUGAGCAACAUUGGGAGUGGAAGACGGAAGGAUGAGGAACCAAAUAAAAGGAAUGGGAGGGUGGGUAACUAAAAGCCCCGUAGAGCCCAGUUGUCGUACCAUCACAGGACGGCCCACGUCUGCACUUGGACAUGAGAAAUUAAUGGUCUUUUGUUUAAACCAUCGUUUUGCAGGAGUUACUAUUACUUGCUGUUCAAUCUAAUCUUAACCAAUACAAGCAUGCAGAGUGAAAACAGGAUAAAAACAGAACCCGAGGGAGGAUUUUAGCUGUAGAGUGGAGGAAAAUCAGACUGAGAAGAAAUAAUCAAAGAGAAGGAGGAAAACCAGCAGAAAACUAUACCUGGAAAACUAAAGAAAUAUUUAAAGGAAGGGAGAAAUAAAGCAUCAGAUAUUACUGAAUCAGCUGAUAGAACGACCAAGAAGUAUCUAAUGGUAGGCCUAUAUUUCUCAACUUUUAAUGUGUGUAGGAAUCAUUCGGUGUCUUGUUAACAUGCAGAAUAUAAUUCAGUAGGUCUGGGGUGGGGCAGUUCUGACAAGCCUCCAGGUGAUGUCGAUGAUACUGGUCGGCUCACAGCGGCAAAGGUUUAGGCCGGAGUGGUUCUCAAAGAGCAGUUCUUGAACCGGCAGCAUCAGGAUCACCAGGGAACUCGAUAGGAAUGCACGUUCUGGCUCUCACCCCAGAUCCACUGACUCAGAAACCCUGGGGGUGGGGCAAUCUGUUUUAACAAGACCACCAGGGCAUUCUGAUGCACAUUGAAGUCUGACAGCCACUGGUGAGAGCAAUGAUAAUAAUAACAGUGACUUCCACAGAUGUUGAUCACCAACUGUGGGCCAGGCCCUUUCACACUUUUCUUACGUUAUCUUGUUUGGUCCUCACAACAAUCCAUUUUAUCAAUGAGGAAACUAAGACUGAGAAGUUAAAUACAUUCUCAAGGUCACAAGACUGGCUAGUGGUGGAUCCGGAAAACCACGUCUGUCUGACACCUACGUCCAUUCUCUGGCCACUUUGCCAACUCACCUUCAAGGGUCAACGGUGAUAUUAUCAUAAACAAUUUCAGCAGGGAAUGAAGACAGAAGCCAGAUUGCAGUGGCUUUGAAAGACAGGAAGUGGGAAAGGUGAAAAACACUUUAUCAACAACUUUGACUUUGAAGGAGAAAAGAGACAUAGAAUGAAAACCAGAAGCCUAAAGACAGCAGCAUGACCCAAAAACUUCCUGGUCUCUCCACCGUGGACAAUCAGGCCACUGGAAAGGGAGAUGAAACUGAAGGCCUCUGCCCUCUGAGAAGAUGAACAGAACUCACCAGAGGAAGGAAGGGAGGAAGAGAACAUUUCUUUUCUGUCUUGGCGCCUUUGGAAGUAGGGCCAUUACCAGUGGACCACUAGGAGGCAGCACAGAACCGGGAACCAGGAACCUCGGGUUUGGUCCUGCUUAGCACCAGCUGUGUCUCACUGACUGUCACCUAAACUCUCUGAGCUUCAGUUUCCUCAUCACAGCCAUGCCAGGGUUUUGAUAUAGUUAUUGUUAGUGUUGUUUUCAGGAUUUGUUGAGACUAUGACCCACUUGGGGGGCGAUGUGCUGGUGGACAUGGGUUGGAAACUCCAGAGUGGUCCACCAAGGUCUGUGUGUUUGAAGGAAGAUGGAGCCUCCUGGGGACUCUCUAGUCUAAGGCACAGUGGCAUGAUCCAAGCUCAUGAGAGGGUCAGGAGAGGGAGAGACUUUGAGUACAACCAGGGGUGUGCUGCUCACCCAGCCCUCUAGCUUCCCCUUACAUCUCAUGUAGGAUGUGAUGUCAAUUCUUGCGGCAGGGCGUGUGUAGAUAAACAUCAGUCUGUUCAUUUGUAAGAAGACGUUACCAUCUCCAGGAUCCGAAGACUCACAUCCCUGCACUCAGAACAUUCUCGUCCUUUGGGAAGACUGACAUGAAAAGCCAGAUGAUAAUCAGAAGGUUGCUGGGUGACAACUGUUGAAGAGCAUCUGGAUCUGAUGUGUCUGUCUCCCAUAGACACGGCCUUGUUGGUGGGACCAGAAUGUGUGAAGUCUGACAGCUAUUGCCCCCUUUCAGCUCUUGGUGUGGCAAAUACACUGCCCACCUGUGCUGUUUUGUGACGUUACUUUCAUCCACGGGCCUGGGAAAAUGACGGCUGUGUAUCUUUAAAAGAACUCAAGUAAAUGACCCCUGAUUUCUCUCCUGGGUUAGUAUUUGUGCUUCGGUAGAGUCACCGGGCAGCAGCAUAGCUUAAUGGUAAAGUUCUAGCACUGAAGGCAGCCUGCCCGGUACAGAUCUGGACGCUGUGACCUGCCAUGACAGCUGGGCAAAUUACUUAAUCUCUCUGUGACUCCACCUUCUUCAUCUCUAAAAUGGGAGAAUAAUAGUAUGUACGUUCCAAAAUUGUGAUGAAGAUUAAAUGAACUAAUACAUAAAACAUUUGACAUAGUGCUUGCCACAUAGUGAAUACUUAAGUUUUAGCCGUUUUGAGAAUGUACUUGCCCGUUUUCCUUGCCAUUUUUUUUAUGGCCUUAAUGAGUUUAAUAUAAGUAAUGACUUAUUUUUGUCCAUAACAAGGUGGUGUUAUAACAUGGUUCAGUAUUUAAUAUACAGAUACUGAUUAGUUGGUUGGCAUAGCCAAUUUUUUAGCAGAAGUAUUUAAUAUAUACAUGCUGAUG